This 298-nucleotide unclassified non-coding RNA is filed under the name Mycena olida. Its description in RNAcentral is "partial contains 5.8S ribosomal RNA, internal transcribed spacer 2, and large subunit ribosomal RNA". Lineage: Eukaryota; Fungi; Basidiomycota; Agaricomycetes; Agaricales; Mycenaceae. The record is from RNAcentral.
CGCACCUUGCACUCCUUGGUAUUCCGAGGAGUAUGCCUGUUUGAGUGUCAUUAAAUUCUCAAACCUCGACUUGUUUUCGGACGAGUUGAGGCUUUGGAUGUGGGGGUUGCAGGCUCUUUAGCGAAUCUGCUCUCCUUAAAAGCAUUAGUGGCUACUGUCGUCUCCACUCUAUAGGUGUGAUAACUAUCAUCGCCGACUAGGGAGAUGUGUAAAGUGUAGUUGCUCUCGAACGGUCCAUUCUUAUGGACAAUUUGAACCCUUUGGCCUCAAAUCAGGUAGGACUACCCGCUGAACUUAA